GAUGAACGCUGGCGGCGUGCCUAAUACAUGCAAGUCGAGCGAACAGACGAGGAGCUUGCUCCUCUGACGUUAGCGGCGGACGGGUGAGUAACACGUGGAUAACCUACCUAUAAGACUGGGAUAACUUCGGGAAACCGGAGCUAAUACCGGAUAAUAUAUUGAACCGCAUGGUUCAAUAGUGAAAGACGGUUUUGCUGUCACUUAUAGAUGGAUCCGCGCCGCAUUAGCUAGUUGGUAAGGUAACGGCUUACCAAGGCGACGAUGCGUAGCCGACCUGGGAGGGUGAUCGGCCACACUGGAACUGAGACACGGUCCAGACUCCUACGGGAGGCAGCAGUAGGGAAUCUUCCGCAAUGGGCGAAAGCCUGACGGAGCAACGCCGCGUGAGUGAUGAAGGUCUUCGGAUCGUAAAACUCUGUUAUUAGGGAAGAACAAAUGUGUAAGUAACUAUGCACGUCUUGACGGUACCUAAUCAGAAAGCCACGGCUAACUACGUG
This 497-nucleotide ribosomal RNA is filed under the name uncultured bacterium. Its description in RNAcentral is "partial 16S ribosomal RNA". It matches the Rfam family "Bacterial small subunit ribosomal RNA", at positions 28 to 507 of the family's 1533-position model. The record is from RNAcentral.